UGAAAUAUGUGUGAAAGUGUUUUACCUCAAGAGUGUUUUAAUAAGCUUUGUAAUGUAGAGAUUCAGAUGUGAUACAAUGCAAAUCAUUGUAAAGAAAAUGUGUGUAUUACUUUGUUCAAUAUAUUAAAUGUUAAAUAGUGUUUUAGUCUAUGUAUUGUUUAUUCAGAUAAUCUAUGGUGUUGCCAUAUAGGCAGUUGGGAUCCACACCCUUGUAUCACCCACAGGGGUGUAUGAUAUAUAGAUCCUUGAUCACACUCAACGCAUCGCAAUAAAGACCUCAACCCCGUA
Molecule: long non-coding RNA, 288 nt
Organism: Haliotis rufescens (red abalone)
Lineage: Eukaryota; Metazoa; Mollusca; Gastropoda; Lepetellida; Haliotidae
Exons: 2
Source: RefSeq, a predicted model, not a curated record